Long non-coding RNA from Zeugodacus cucurbitae (melon fly), 3580 nucleotides. RefSeq lists it as uncharacterized. The record is from RefSeq and is a predicted model, not a curated record. Lineage: Eukaryota; Metazoa; Arthropoda; Insecta; Diptera; Tephritidae. The transcript is spliced from 2 exons.
CACCUUCUUCCGUCCUUGUCCCGUCCAUCGCAUUUCUUGGAUUGCGGUGAUGCGGGAUUCGCCUUCUCACUUUAGCUCGCUUCCAGACGGAUGUCUGUUGGCUACCCAGAGGAUACUUGGUCGAAGACCGGAAGUUGUGAGCUGCUUGAGCCACAUGUAAAAGAAUCGUUCCUGGCCACUCCCAAGUGAAUGGCAGUCAGAAACUUUCCUCACUUACGUGAACUUCUACAUAUGACUCCAUCCUCCUAUACUAUCAAGGGGAGGUAAUAUUCGGUUUGCACUAUUCGGAUAGUCGUCAGUCAUCGACUAUUCGUUUAACCGCUCAUUUUCGACUAUUCGGUUAACCGUUCGUCGUCGACUAUUCGAAUAGUGCAAGCAUAUAAAUUUAUCAAAAUAUUUUUAUUGAAAAAAGUGAAACAUUUUACCUAACAAUUAACUUGCUUUAAAAUACAAAAAUAACAAUGAUUUCACGGGAACCAUUAAGUAAUGACAAAAUAGUUUUUAACCAUUUAAACUGGGCGAAUGUAUUAAAUCAGUAUUUUUCAUAAAACGUCUACUUUGAUAUAAGACAGUUAAAAGGUUAACAUUUGUUGGUUGCAAGCAGCUUAAGCAAUGUUUCCAGCAAUGGAGAACGUCCUCUCUGAUUCUGAUAAAGUGACUGGAAUUGUGAUUUCAAACAAUUUUCAUUUAUUCGAAUAGUGAUAGUAUAGUCGUAACAUUGCGAAUAGUCGUAACAUUGCGAUUAAUCGAAUAGUACUAACCGGUUAAUAUUCGUACGAACGGUUACAAAACGGAUAUUUGAAUAAUUGGUUUUCAGGUUAAUCGAAUAAUUCUAAGAGCCCUAGUUUAUAUACAUAUUAAGUAUAUAUUAAUAAUUUAGUUUGAUACCUUUAUUAGUGUUUAUGUCAUCUAUUGUAAAGUCAGAUAAGGCAAUGCGAUUAUAAAUUGUAUUCUAUAGAAAGUAGGCCAUAACCAACUGUACUAAAAAGGCCUCAACAAAACGAAAUAAUUUUAUAACUACAUACAUAUGCAUGUACAUAUAAUUUAUAAUAUUUAUUGUGCAAGCAGUUUUAGUGGGCUAUAUUUUAGUAGUCACAAGACCAUUGAGUCAUUGUUAAAAUAUGUAUUUGUUUGUAGAAUGUUAUCAAAAUAUGUAAUUCAAUCAAAAUGUUUUUCAAAUAUGCGUUAUUUUGGACAACAGAAGAAAUGGAGUUCUAAAUUUAUGAUAUGUACUGUACUAUGUACUGGCAAACACGUACACUUGGAGAUACUUUUGAACAUCUUAAUAAAUAUUAUAUUUCACAAAAUACUUAUAUUGUAUCGUUGAAAACAAGCUUAAACAAUAAAAACAUACAAGAUUGUAAGUAACAUAAUGUUGGUUGCUAUUCUUAAGAAUGUGAACAUUGCUGUGUUAGCGCAUGAAAGUUGAAAAUUUUCUACUUCUGUGCAUCUUCGAAUACGAGUUCUAAUUUUUUCUUUCUAAUUUUGUACUAGUUGUGCGGCUAACAACCGCAAUAUUUGCUUUCUAUCCAAUUUUAUUUCACCAAAAUGGAAUUAUUAUUGCCAAUCUGCUGUUAUGGGACUUUAUAACUCGCUUUGCUGUCGUCUGUCACCCACAAAAUUGGAACUGAUUAAAAGCGCAGUUAAUCGGGAAUAACUCUGCCGUCUGUCUAGCCUAUUAGGAAUGUGGGAGAGAGUUUUACAGUUCGUGAAAAAAAACACCCAGAAAAAGUUGCAACAGGUCGUACAUCUGACCUUUUUAAUGACACUUGCCAAACUCAUUUCCGGAACAUUCUGAGAGGGAGGAAGAAACAAACCUCUUUGGACAUUUUUUUUCUAAACGGCCUACAGGUGGAAGCGAGGAAAAUGUAGCGAAAAAGGCAAAGACCAGUGACAUUUUGUAGGUUGGAACGAAUUAAUAGUAGUUCAAUUGUUUUGUAUGGGGAAAUUUGCUUCGAGAUACGAGUAAUAAUUCAAGAUACGAGCAAGGUUGCGGAACGAAUUAAAAUCGUAUGUCGAGGUACCACUGUAAUUUCAAUGUAUAAAAAACAGCAGAUAUAUUUUAUCUCGGAUAUAUUAAGAUAUUGAAAGCAAUAGUUAGGAGAACAUUACUAUAAUACUUUAUUCUAUUUAACUUAUAGCGGAGUAUAAAAACAAUACAAAUUUAAUAAAUAUUCGUUAGAAUAUUACAUAUUGCUUGGUUAACUGGACAGAAUUUUGGGAAAAUUAUUAUUAAUAUACAUACCAAAGAGUUAACUCAAAAUAAUUUGUUUAUUACUUUUAAAUGUAGUGUGUAGGCGAGACGAAUGAUAGACAGAUAUGCAAACAGCAAGUCUUGCAUCUUCUUACAUCUCUAAAACUAAACCUUUCUAAACCUUUAUUUCGAUACUCUUUGGUUACACUUAAGUUAUUCAACUUUUGUCAAUAUGAAGAAAUUUCUUACAUGUUAAAGUUAUAAAUAUAAAUGAUACCUUUGAUAAUUAAGUUUUUCCAAGCGCCAGCACUUCCAUAUAAAUCAACUACAAUAUUUAUAUUAAUAUCAUUAACACAUAUGUACUUUCAAAACACUCUGGCGAUGUAAAAGAUGCUUAUUGCCAGUAGAUUAGAAGAAUCUCACAACAUGGUUAUAAUCUGUGAAGAGCUCCCUAGUCCACUAACCAUAAAGCAUCGAAUUUUUAAUUAUGUUUUUAUUUAAGCUAUUAAUUUAAAUGAAAUAUGUAUAUUAUUAUUAUUGUAAAUUCACAACAAAUAAAUGUAAAUUGAUGAAUUAAUGUAUUUGUAUAAAAUUGUGGAAUGAAAAAUACACCUAUCGACUUUCAAUAAUUACACAACUUGUGCACAUACAAUACGCACCUGAUCGAAGUUUCUUCAAAAUGGACUCGAUGUUGUGUUAAUCGACGCAUUUAUGUAUAUAAUAUUUUCUUAUCUGAAUAUAGAUAAAAUGACAAAUACAAUGGCAGUGCCUUUAAUUCCUAUUAGGGAAAAUCAAACAAAAAAUAAUUGAAUGUUCCCAAUAUAGCCUUCAAGAUUAAACAUAUUUAUUUGAGAGUCAGUUAUAUAGCAGUAAAAAUUUUAAUUAAGUGCAAGAAUCAAGAUAUUUCAACAAAUUUUUUGGUCCUAUAGGGAGGAAUGAAGAUUUUCAAGUCAAGUCAAGAUUUUCAUUUCUUGAAUUUUUGAACCAAGUAAUUUUAUAACGAAUUAAAGUCAUGGUAUAUAUAUCUACCAAUAUAAGGACAAUGCAUUGCUUGUGUUCACAUUUUUUCAAUGGGAUUGUACAAAAAUGUUGUAGAACAUAUUGAAUAGAUUAGUUAAGCACUGUAGUUUUUGUGUGCACAUAUGUACACAUAGUAUUUUUAUACAGAAUUUCAGCAGUAAAAGCAAUUUUUAAACCAGAUACAGUGUCUCAGAAUUAUAAUGGAACAGUAUAUAGUGAUCCUUAUUAUAAGGUUAUAAGUAGUAUGUAUAAAUAUUUUGUAUUUAAUUUUGGAAUGUACAUAUACAUACAUAUAUUAUAUAAAUAAAAACCAAGUAAGGAAGUGCUAAGUUCGGGUGUAACCGAACAUUUUAUACUCUCGCAAUU